AACGACGACGACGACGACGACGACGACGACGAUCACGACGCUGCCGCGGCCUUCGAGUCGUUGUCGUCGGCCUCCACCACCGCCGGCCACGACGACGUCGUCGAUGUCGAGGUCGAUGUAGACGUCGAUGUCGACGUCGAUGUCGAGGUCGAUGUAGACGUCGACGUCGAUGUCGACGCACCUACCGGCGUCGUCGACCUCACACGCACCACCGCGGCACGCCACGUCCGCUCAUCUCACCGCCAUUCUCGCGCCCGAGUCCGAUGGAUCCCCGUGGAUCUCGCGAUCCUGCACCCCCCGGGAGCUUCUCCGUCGUCACCUCUGCGCUCGACCUUGGCUCCCGAGUCACGACGACGGCGGCAAGGGAAAAACAGUCACGGACGAGAGACGAGGAAGAGCGUGCCGAUCAGAGGCUGUGUCAGAUACCAGGUAGAACCACGCGGUUCGUCGGCCCGGUACCAGGCCUCAUGAAUGGAAUAGGGUUCGCCAGGAUCGAUGGAGAGGGCGUGCUUUCAGGCAAGGAUUGGUAUAGUCGUGGCGUUUCCAACCCCACCUGAGCGAGGGUGCAGCGAGCACUACACGUGCUCGAUUACGUCACGAGGACGAGCCAUUCAGGUAUCGUCCGCGGAAAGAGCAGAAAAAUAUCGCGCAGGACUCGCCGCGCCGUUCCUCCCCGCGGGAUGUUUCACCCUCGCGGUCCCGGCGACGGCGGACGACAGGAGGGACGAUCUCCGCGCGGAUUACCGGCUCGCAAGAGUCCCGGGAGGUUGUAAGGGCGGGUUUCAGUGCGAUCCUCGGCCGUGCGUGCCGCAGGGGAAGUCCGACGGGAUCCUCAGCAGGAGCUGGACGAGGAGAAGUGCAGGAUGAGAGAAGAAGCGUGAGUCUGUGCUCCUUGCGUUCACUGCGGGCUUCCAUGUGCCAACUUUUCAAAAUUCAUAAGGCACGCGGUGAAUGCCAAGAGCGGACCAAAUACAACGAUCCCCCGCGUUAACUCGCUGAGGAUCUCUCUCUGUCUCUCUGUCUACGUCUCGGUGUGACGUCCUUUCAGGAACCUCGAGCCUCGCGUUCGACCUUCCUCCGUUGCGCAAGGUCAGUAUCGAAGGUGGACGAUGCCGUGCUCGCCCCGUACACGCUCGCGUGCUUUCUCGUAUUUUUUAAGUUGCUGGGGAAUGCAAAUUUGGUUGCAACAAACGUUUUUGUAUCGUACACACUUCCACCCGCCUGAACACACACACACACACACACACACACGCGCGCUCUUUUUUUGGUCGUACAGUUAAAUUAAUUUAUUAAAAGCAUUCCCUCCCACGCUUGACUUUACUUGCGCAUUUAAACAAAUAUUUGCAUAAGUGAAAUGCUUGUUAUUAUAGCUCGUACGUUUAUAUUCACUUGUUUUAAAUAACGAUUAAGCGGAAAAUCAUUACCCCGCGCGCGUAAUUGGAUGAACAUGAACAAAAGCUCCACGUUCUUGUAUCCGGAACAUUUUUCACGUCUACACACAUAUGAAUACAUACAUAUGCAUUGAUGUUGUUUUUUUUUUAACGUCGCUCACUCACAUAAUAUCUCGCGUUUGCAUUUAAUCUGAAUUCUAUUCUGAAGCAACAUUCUGCGACGCUUGCCGAGCGUCGGAUACUAAUUCAAGCGCGAGUCUGCUGCGAUUUUCUUGAUUCAAGCGUUGCAUCGGACAUCAGAGAGCGAAGAGAGAAAGGGAACGGCGAAGUAGAUCGCUAAUGGUGGCCGAGCUCGUUCCCCGACGGACGGGGCUUGUCGAGAUCGGCUUUAAAGACGAAGAGCCCCUAAAUGGAAAUCGGGGAAUUCCCGGGACGUAGGACGAAAACGGCCGGUUGUAUCGACCGAGACGAAAGGGCGGCGAAGGGAGAUGACUGGAUGGUGGGGAUGCUGCGCGGUUAAAGGGUGGACGGACGUUGCCUGGCAACCCGCUCCUUCCCGCAGCAUCCCUCCUGGACCAUCACCGCUGCCUCCGCUACCGCCACCACCGCCACCACCAUCACCGCCGCCACCGCCGCCGCCGCCGCCAUCCACGAUUUCCACGAUCAUUGUUGUCGUUGUUCGACGUUGCGCGUCCGCCAUUAUUCAGGAUCGAUAUCUUUGCCGAGAAACAGAGAGAGAGAGAGAGAGAGAGAGAGAGAGAGAGAGAGAGAG
Molecule: long non-coding RNA, 2163 nt
Organism: Harpegnathos saltator (Jerdon's jumping ant)
Lineage: Eukaryota; Metazoa; Arthropoda; Insecta; Hymenoptera; Formicidae
Exons: 3
Source: RefSeq, a predicted model, not a curated record